This 84-nucleotide transfer RNA is filed under the name Nanobdellati archaeon. RNAcentral's name for it is "tRNA-Ser". It matches the Rfam family "tRNA". Rfam says of the family: Transfer RNA (tRNA) molecules are approximately 80 nucleotides in length. Their secondary structure includes four short double-helical elements and three loops (D, anti-codon, and T loops). Further hydrogen bonds mediate the characteristic L-shaped molecular structure. tRNAs have two regions of fundamental functional importance: the anti-codon, which is responsible for specific mRNA codon recognition, and the 3' end, to which the tRNAs corresponding amino acid is attached (by aminoacyl-tRNA synthetases). tRNAs cope with the degeneracy of the genetic code in two manners: having more than one tRNA (with a specific anti-codon) for a particular amino acid; and 'wobble' base-pairing, i.e. permitting non-standard base-pairing at the 3rd anti-codon position. The record is from RNAcentral. Lineage: Archaea; Nanobdellati.
GCCCAGAUCGCAUAACCUGGUAUUGCGCAAGCCUGGAAAGCUUGUUUCCGCAAGGAUAUGCAGGUUCAAAUCCUGCUCUGGGCG